GACGAACGCUGGCGGCGUGCUUAACACAUGCAAGUCGAACGGAAAGGCCCUGCUUUUGUGGGGUGCUCGAGUGGCGAACGGGUGAGUAACACGUGAGUAACCUGCCCUUGACUUUGGGAUAACUUCAGGAAACUGGGGCUAAUACCGGAUAGGAGCUCCUGCUGCAUGGUGGGGGUUGGAAAGUUUCGGCGGUUGGGGAUGGACUCGCGGCUUAUCAGCUUGUUGGUGGGGUAGUGGCUUACCAAGGCUUUGACGGGUAGCCGGCCUGAGAGGGUGACCGGCCACAUUGGGACUGAGAUGCGGCCCAGACUCCUACGGGAGGCAGCAGUGGGGAAUAUUGCACAAUGGGCGGAAGCCUGAUGCAGCAACGCCGCGUGCGGGAUGACGGCCUUCGGGUUGUAAACCGCUUUCGCCUGUGACGAAGCGUGAGUGGCGGUAAUGGGUAAAGAAGCACCGGCUAACUACGUG
This 468-nucleotide ribosomal RNA is filed under the name uncultured bacterium. RNAcentral describes it as "partial 16S ribosomal RNA". It matches the Rfam family "Bacterial small subunit ribosomal RNA", at positions 28 to 507 of the family's 1533-position model. The record is from RNAcentral.